This 85-nucleotide transfer RNA is filed under the name Planctomycetaceae bacterium. Its description in RNAcentral is "tRNA-Leu". It matches the Rfam family "tRNA". Rfam says of the family: Transfer RNA (tRNA) molecules are approximately 80 nucleotides in length. Their secondary structure includes four short double-helical elements and three loops (D, anti-codon, and T loops). Further hydrogen bonds mediate the characteristic L-shaped molecular structure. tRNAs have two regions of fundamental functional importance: the anti-codon, which is responsible for specific mRNA codon recognition, and the 3' end, to which the tRNAs corresponding amino acid is attached (by aminoacyl-tRNA synthetases). tRNAs cope with the degeneracy of the genetic code in two manners: having more than one tRNA (with a specific anti-codon) for a particular amino acid; and 'wobble' base-pairing, i.e. permitting non-standard base-pairing at the 3rd anti-codon position. The record is from RNAcentral. RNAcentral also lists the same sequence under 1 other name. Lineage: Bacteria; Pseudomonadati; Planctomycetota; Planctomycetia; Planctomycetales; Planctomycetaceae.
GCGGGAAUGGCGGAAUUGGCAGACGCGCUAGGUUGAGGGCCUAGUGGGGUGUAACCCCAUGCAGGUUCAAGUCCUGUUUCCCGCA